UGGGGAAUAUUGGACAAUGGGCGCAAGCCUGAUCCAGCCAUGCCGCGUGAGUGAUGAAGGCCUUAGGGUUGUAAAGCUCUUUUGUCCGGGAAGAUAAUGACCGUACCGGAAGAAUAAGCUCCGGCUAACUUCGUGCCAGCAGCCGCGGUAAUACGAAGGGAGCUAGCGUUGUUCGGAAUUACUGGGCGUAAAGCGCAUGCAGGCGGAUCGUUAAGUCGAGGGUGAAAUCCCAGGGCUCAACCCUGGAACUGCCUUCGAUACUGGCGACCUUGAGGCCGGGAGAGGUGAGUGGAACUCCGAGUGUAGAGGUGAAAUUCGUAGAUAUUCGGAAGAACACCAGUGGCGAAGGCGGCUCACUGGCCCGGUACUGACGUUGAGAUGCGAAAGCGUGGGGAGCAAACA
Molecule: ribosomal RNA, 402 nt
Filed under: uncultured bacterium
Lineage: Bacteria
Description: bacterial SSU rRNA
Rfam family: Bacterial small subunit ribosomal RNA
Source: RNAcentral